Molecule: ribosomal RNA, 660 nt
Filed under: uncultured bacterium
Lineage: Bacteria
Description: bacterial SSU rRNA
Rfam family: Bacterial small subunit ribosomal RNA
Source: RNAcentral
AGUGGCGGACGGGUGAGUAACGCGUGAGAAUCUGCCUUGGGGUCGGGGACAACCACUGGAAACGGUGGCUAAUACCGGAUAAGCCGAUUGGUGAAAGAUUUAUUGCCCGAAGAGGAGCUCGCGUCUGAUUAGCUAGUUGGUGAGGUAAGAGCUCACCAAGGCAGCGAUCAGUAGCUGGUCUGAGAGGACGAUCAGCCACACUGGGACUGAGACACGGCCCAGACUCCUACGGGAGGCAGCAGUGGGGAAUUUUCCGCAAUGGGCGAAAGCCUGACGGAGCAAGACCGCGUGAGGGAGGAAGUCUCUUGGGUUGUAAACCUCUUUUCUCAGGGAAGAAGCUCUGACGGUACCUGAGGAAUCAGCCUCGGCUAACUCCGUGCCAGCAGCCGCGGUAAUACGGAGGAGGCAAGCGUUAUCCGGAAUUAUUGGGCGUAAAGCGUCCGCAGGUGGCGAUUCAAGUCUGCUGUCAAAGCACGGGGCUUAACUCCGUAAAGGCAGUGGAAACUGAAUAGCUAGAGUGCCGUAGGGGUAGAGGGAAUUCCCGGUGUAGCGGUGAAAUGCGUAGAGAUCGGGAAGAACAUCGGUGGCGAAAGCGCUCUACUGGACGGCAACUGACACUCAGGGACGAAAGCUAGGGGAGCGAAUGGGAUUAGAUACCCC